GACGAACGCUGGCGGCGUGCCUAACACAUGCAAGUCGAACGGAGAUACGCGCUGAAUGGAUGGAGCUUGCUUUUGAAAUUCUUGUGUAUCUUAGUGGCGGACGGGUGAGUAACGCGUGAGCAACCUGCCUUUCAGAGGGGGAUAACGUUUGGAAACGAACGCUAAUACCGCAUGAGACCACAGUACUGCAUAGUACAGUGGCCAAAGGAGCAAUCCGCUGAAAGAUGGGCUCGCGUCCGAUUAGAUAGUUGGCGGGGUAACGGCCCACCAAGUCGACGAUCGGUAGCCGGACUGAGAGGUUGAACGGCCACAUUGGGACUGAGACACGGCCCAG
This 334-nucleotide ribosomal RNA is filed under the name uncultured bacterium. Its description in RNAcentral is "bacterial SSU rRNA". It matches the Rfam family "Bacterial small subunit ribosomal RNA", at positions 28 to 334 of the family's 1533-position model. The record is from RNAcentral.